This 149-nucleotide non-coding RNA is filed under the name Bacillus cereus biovar anthracis str. CI. Lineage: Bacteria; Bacillati; Bacillota; Bacilli; Caryophanales; Bacillaceae. The record is from RNAcentral.
AUCAUUUAAUUUAGAUUAUGAAAAUUUAAAAAUAAUUCUUAUUUUUAAAUGAAAGAGCGUUUGUCAAGGCGCUCCUGAUUAAAACUAAUAAGGAAAAAGAAUAACACGUUAUAUUUAUACAUAUAUUUAUUCGGAUUUUUUAUAUUCUU